RNAcentral lists this small RNA (1138 nucleotides) under Pongo abelii (Sumatran orangutan). Its description in RNAcentral is "processed transcript". Lineage: Eukaryota; Metazoa; Chordata; Mammalia; Primates; Hominidae. The record is from RNAcentral.
GGGCGCGCGCGGGGUGGGGGCGGGGUGGCCGGGAGGUGGCAGCCCACCGCUGGGGAGCGACCUGCGGUCUGGGCCUCCCGGGCACGCCGCGAAGGCUGGCAGGUCACUCGGGCCCGAGGGGCCUCGUGGGGAGCGGCCAUGUUGGCUUCGUCACUGAGGACUCCGGGCGGGUCGGGUGUCGGGAGAGGCCUCGGACCUUCGGCCUGUCGGGGACGCCCUGCCGGGAAUUCAGAAGGAGCUGGCGGACAUCACUUUAGACCCUCCACCUAAUUGCAGUGCUGGUCCCAAAGGCGAUAACAUCUAUGAAUGGAGAUCAACCAUUCUAGGGCCUCCAGGAUCCGUGUAUGAGGGUGGUGUAUUCUUUCUCGAUAUCACUUUUACACCAGAAUAUCCCUUCAAGCCUCCAAAGGUUACAUUUCGGACAAGAAUCUAUCAUUGUAAUAUUAACAGUCAAGGUGUUAUUUGCUUGGACAUAUUGAAAGAUAAUUGGAGUCCAGCACUAACCAUUUCUAAAGUCCUCCUUUCUAUCUGCUCACUUCUUACAGACUGUAAUCCUGCCGACCCCUUGGUGGGAAGUAUUGCCACUCAGUAUAUGACCAACAGAGCAGAACAUGACAGAAUGGCCAGACAGUGGACCAAGAGAUACGCUACAUAAAUUGGGGUUUCACGAUUCUUACAUUAUUUGUCUGUCACAGAAGAGAGCUGCUUAUGAUUUUGAAGGGGUCAGGGAGGGUGGGAGUUGGUAAAGAGUAGGGUAUUUCUAUAACAGAUAUUAUUCAGUCUUAUUUCCUAAGAUUUUGUUGUAACUUAAGGUAUCUUGCUACAGUAGACAGAAUUGGUAAUAGCAACUUUUAAAAUUGUCAUUAGUUCUGCAAUAUUAGCUGAAAUGUAGUACAGAAAAGAAUGUACAUUUAGACAUUUGGGUUCAGUUGCUUGUAGUCUGUAAAUUUAAAACAGCUUAAUUUUGUACAGGUUACACACAUGGCCAUUUAUGUAAAGUCCCUGUAAGACUACAUACUUUUUGUUUAAAACAAAAUUGGAAUUUGUUUUCCCUUCUUGGAAGGGAACAUUGAUAUUUAACAGAGUUUUUAGAGACUGUCAUCUCAUAUAUAUAAAAUGGACACGUGGCUAUAAAACA